Molecule: long non-coding RNA, 826 nt
Filed under: Homo sapiens (human)
Lineage: Eukaryota; Metazoa; Chordata; Mammalia; Primates; Hominidae
Description: lncAB98.1
Source: RNAcentral
UAACUACUCUGGGGUGGCAGGUUCCAGAGAAUGCAGUAGACCUUUUGCCACUCAUCUGUGUUUUACUUGAGACAUGUAAAUAUGAUAGGGAAGGAACUGAAUUUCUCCAUUCAUAUUUAUAACCAUUCUAGUUUUAUCUUCCUUGGCUUUAAGAGUGUGCCAUGGAAAGUGAUAAGAAAUGAACUUCUAGGCUAAGCAAAAAGAUGCUGGAGAUAUUUGAUACUCUCAUUUAAACUGGUGCUUUAUGUACAUGAGAUGUACUAAAAUAAGUAAUAUAGAAUUUUUCUUGCUAGGUAAAUCCAGUAAGCCAAUAAUUUUAAAGAUUCUUUAUCUGCAUCACUGCUGUUUGUUACUAUAAAUUAAAUGAACCUCAUAGAAAGGUUGAGGUGUAUACCUUUGUGAUUUUCUAAUGAGUUUUCCAUGGUGCUACAAAUAAUCCAGACUACCAGGUCUGGUAGAUAUUAAAGCUGGGUACUAAGAAAUGUUAUUUGCAUCCUCUCAGUUACUCCUGAAUAUUCUGAUUUCAUACGUACCCAGGGAGCAUGCUGUUUUGUCAAUCAAUAUAAAAUAUUUAUGAGGUCUCCCCCACCCCCAGGAGGUUAUAUGAUUGCUCUUCUCUUUAUAAUAAGAGAAACAAAUUCUUAUUGUGAAUCUUAACAUGCUUUUUAGCUGUGGCUAUGAUGGAUUUUAUUUUUUCCUAGGUCAAGCUGUGUAGAAGUCAUUUAUGUUAUUUAAAUGAUGUACUGUACUGCUGUUUACAUGGACGUUUUGUGCGGGUGCUUUGAAGUGCCUUGCAUCAGGGAUUAGGAGCAAUUAAGUUAUUUUU